Molecule: transfer RNA, 72 nt
Filed under: Equus asinus (donkey)
Lineage: Eukaryota; Metazoa; Chordata; Mammalia; Perissodactyla; Equidae
Also listed under: 1 other name
Rfam family: tRNA
About the family: Transfer RNA (tRNA) molecules are approximately 80 nucleotides in length.
Source: Rfam by way of RNAcentral
GCCCUGGUGGUCUAGUGGUUAAGGUCUGGCACUCUCACUGCCGUGACCUGGGUUCAUUUCCCAAUCAGGGAA